CAAGUUAUUAAACUUAAGGACUUAUUUGUACAUAUUUUCUUAUUUUCUUCCCCAUUACUUUGACCUCUAUUGUAAAGUAACGGCACGCGACAGAUUUUGUGCGUCCUUUUUGCACACAUGCAUAUGUAUGUAUGUAUAUACGAAAUAGUUUGACACUCCGCUUUGUAGCGAAUCCCGCGAUCACUUCGAAGCAAGCGGUUCUCCUGAUCGGAUGUAAAAGCGAUUAAUAGAGCUCGAUAUACAAGUGUUCAUUUAAGUGUAAUAAAAAAGUGAAAAGUACUGAAAAAAGCAACUAUAGCAAUUUUAUAUAUGGGACCCAUUUAAGGAAAAGGUUUUUUGCUUUUACGAAGAGCAAAUGCAAAACAAAGAGCGACUUAAACUAUUAAAGACAGUUCAGAAAACAGUAUCACUUGAUUACAAGGACUACAUUAACACCGUAUUGCUCACAUCUGUCAUCUUAAAUAAUUCGUGGACCGUCAUUAAAGGAACCAAUAAGCGAAAGAAAUUAUCACUACUAUGACUCGCAGGAAAGUUUUGUACGCACAUGCAGACGUACGAAUGUGGGAAAACAAAAAAAAUGUGUGAUUAUAAAAAAUAUGUAUAAUAAUGUAUAAUAUGUAUACGUAUAUAUGUAUCAUAUAAAUUCUAAGAGUUACGUUAAGUACAAAUGUAUUUAAAACAAAAGUAAUGAUGACGUGUUAGCAUGGUAAAAAUAGAGUUUAAGCAGAACAAUUGUUUGGAUUAUAAGUUUACGUUUAUUUUCAAUAAAACCACAUACUU
This is a non-coding RNA of Drosophila suzukii, 780 nucleotides long. The record is from RefSeq and is a predicted model, not a curated record. NCBI's taxonomy places the organism in Eukaryota, Metazoa, Arthropoda, Insecta, Diptera, Drosophilidae.